CGCGACAGGAACGCUGGCGGCGUGCUUAACACAUGCAAGUCAAGGAGAAGUUCUGCUUCGGUGGAAUGGAUACUGGCGCACGGGUGAGUAACGCGUAUGCAAUCUACCCUUGGAUCGGGGAUAACACUUCCAACGAGGUGCUAAUACCCGAUGACGCAGCGGCACCGCAUGGUGACAGUUGUUAAAGCUUCGGCGACCAAGGAUAAGCAUGCGUCCCAUUAGGUAGUUGGUGAGGUAACGGCUCACCAAGCCCGCGAUGGGUAGCUGGUCUGAGAGGAUGAUCAGCCACACUGGGACUGAGACACGGCCCAGACUCCUACGGGAGGCAGCAGUGAGGAAUAUUGCGCAAUGGGGGAAACCCUGACGCAGCAACGCCGCGUGCGGGAUGAAGGCCUUUUAGGUCGUAAACCGCUGUAGCAAGGGAAAAAAUAUCCCGUUCGACGGGAUUGAUGGUACCCUGAAAGUAAGCCUCGGCUAACUACGUG
This 485-nucleotide ribosomal RNA is filed under the name uncultured bacterium. Its description in RNAcentral is "bacterial SSU rRNA". It matches the Rfam family "Bacterial small subunit ribosomal RNA", at positions 31 to 507 of the family's 1533-position model. The record is from RNAcentral.